Molecule: ribosomal RNA, 490 nt
Filed under: uncultured bacterium
Lineage: Bacteria
Description: partial 16S ribosomal RNA
Rfam family: Bacterial small subunit ribosomal RNA
Source: RNAcentral
AUUGAACGCUGGCGGCAGGCCUAACACAUGCAAGUCGAACGGUAACAGGGAUCAGCUUGCUGAUUCGCUGACGAGUGGCGGACGGGUGAGUAAUGUCUGGGAAACUGCCUGAUGGAGGGGGAUAACUACUGGAAACGGUAGCUAAUACCGCAUAACGUCGCAAGACCAAAGAGGGGGACCUUCGGGCCCCUUGCCAUCGGAUGUGCCCAGAUGGGAUUAGCUAGUAGGUGGGGUAACGGCUCACCUAGGCGACGAUCCCUAGCUGGUCUGAGAGGAUGACCAGCCACACUGGAACUGAGACACGGUCCAGACUCCUACGGGAGGCAGCAGUGGGGAAUAUUGCACAAUGGGCGCAAGCCUGAUGCAGCCAUGCCGCGUGUAUGAAGAAGGCCUUCGGGUUGUAAAGUACUUUCAGCGGGGAGGAAGGGAGUAAAGUUAAUACCUUUGCUCAUUGACGUUACCCGCAGAAGAAGCACCGGCUAACUCCGUG